Molecule: unclassified non-coding RNA, 370 nt
Filed under: Spizellomyces punctatus
Lineage: Eukaryota; Fungi; Chytridiomycota; Chytridiomycetes; Spizellomycetales; Spizellomycetaceae
Description: partial internal transcribed spacer region
Rfam family: Eukaryotic small subunit ribosomal RNA (bases 1-46)
Source: RNAcentral
AAGUCGUAACAAGGUAACCGUAGGUGAACCUGCGGUUGGAUCAUUAAAAAGUUUGAAAAGGGCUAUGUCAAAGAUGCUUUUAGUUUAGUUAAUUUUUGGCCGUUUCGUUCAUUCAUUCGUUCAAUUCUGAUACUGUUUUUUCAGCAUCUUUGACUUAGUACCUAAUCAAAAACCAACCCUGUGUGAACUGUUUUGUCUCUGGCGGCUGGGUAGGGAUAUACUUUGUGUAACCCUAUCUGUCAGCUUGGUCUUAUCUGAGCCGUGGACAACCCGCCAAACAAUACUGAACAAACUUAGCUAAUUUCUUCUGUCUAAUAUCUGAUUUGUAUUAAUGUACAAACAACUUUUGGCAACGGAUCUCUUGGCUCUC